This is an unclassified non-coding RNA of Aotus nancymaae (Ma's night monkey), 298 nucleotides long. It matches the Rfam family "Metazoan signal recognition particle RNA". Rfam says of the family: The signal recognition particle (SRP) is a universally conserved ribonucleoprotein. It is involved in the co-translational targeting of proteins to membranes. NCBI's taxonomy places the organism in Eukaryota, Metazoa, Chordata, Mammalia, Primates, Aotidae. The record is from Ensembl.
GAAAAGAAAAAGAAAUUAGUCCCAGCUACUCAGGAGGCUGAGGUGAGGGGAUCACUUGAGUCUUAAGAGCUCUGGGUUAUAGUGAGCUAUGCCAAUCAGGUGUCCACACUAAGUUCAGCAUCAGUAUGGUGACCUUCUGGGAGUUGGAGACCACCAGACUGCCUAAGGAGGGGUGAACUGGCCCAGAUCCAAAAGUGAUUAAGUUAAAACUCCCAUGCUGAUCAGUAGUGAGAUCAUGCCUGUGAAUAGCCACUGCAUUCCAACCUGGGCAAAUUAUUAAUAGCAAGACCCUGUCUCU